UUCUCGCAGACCCCAUUUUGCUAAAAUGAAAGGACCUCUCUGUCUCUCACAUUUUUCUCUCCUUUCCUCAAUUUAGCUCUGCUCUCUCUAGAAAGUCUGAAAAUGCUUUUACUCUCUCCAUGUCAAAGCAAGUCCUUCUUCCUCCCUUUGCAGUUUCCUCGCAGAUUGAUGCAUCCGUAGCCUUCCAUAACCCAACAACAACGCACCUCCGUGAGUACCCCGCCGUGAUGGAAAAUCGGAAAAAACGGAAACCCAAAGUGUGGAGAGCCCUAAUGGUUUCAAAUCCGAGACAACAACACAAGAACACCCCCGGAGUCAGCAGCUCAGCUCAACCAAGGAUCUAAAAAUGUUGAGCAUACACCCGUGAGAAAACAAGCUUAAGCUGCCGGUCUAAUAGUCCCAGAAAGCAAAAUCAACAGCAACUGUCGCGGCCUCUGUAUGUCAUAUAGGGGUAUACGGAUCCAUGAUAGAGCCAAGGACACAGAAGUAAACACACAAGAGCAACGGAGGAAAAUAGCACAGGCCGCAUGACCCAGAUCGAUGCAUCUGGGAGGUAAAAUUCGAAUCCCUGCAAGUGUAGUUGUUGUAGAUCUGGUAAUAAUAUCUGUACUCAGUUCUGUGGUGUAUGGAUCUGUGAUUUAAUUGUGCUUCCUCCAUGCAUCGCAAAACUGAGCUGCAGAAAUUAACUGCUCUAAAUUCUGUUUAUGUGCUGGAUCUGCAACAAUCACCCCCAAACUUGCAUAUGUGAAUGGCUUUUUAUGUGGACUGCUUUCAAUUUCCAGCAUAGUGUAGAUGUGGUUGAUGUGAACGAUAGACUUGCUGCUGGGUGCAGGAUUCCAGCAUAGGACGCGUUUUAUUUUCCACGUUCGCAACCUGCAAUUAACCAAUAUGCGU
Long non-coding RNA from Malus domestica (apple), 894 nucleotides. RefSeq lists it as uncharacterized. The record is from RefSeq and is a predicted model, not a curated record. NCBI's taxonomy places the organism in Eukaryota, Viridiplantae, Streptophyta, Magnoliopsida, Rosales, Rosaceae.